AGUUCUGCCAGAGCCCAAGCCAGGAGGAGAGCGACAGCAGAGAAGUGAAUCCUGUUUCUCCCUCUUCUUGGCGGACCUUCUCUGCGAGUCCCUGCCCAGCAUCCUUCUCCUUGCUGUCCCUUUUGGAACAAGGAGUUGUGUGCGACCGUGUUCCCAGGAGAUGGUGGAAGUUACUCACUUAAUUAAUUAACAUUUGCCCCCAAGAACUCCGGUGGAAAGGUCGGAAGGGAACGGGGCUGCGGGCACCGCCUCCUUUGUGCCUAUUCACGGACAAUGAGCUAAUUACAGGCUCCCUCGUACGCUGGAGGGUGGAGGGAGACAUCCUGGUAUUCUCCAGAACAGCCAAAGCUCUAAAGCUGAAGUCUAUUAGGUAGGAUGGUGCAAAUCAGAGAGAGGAGUGCCCCGCAAGAAACUGACAUCACGCUGUCAUCUUAGGGUCCUCUCAGACACGCGCCGAGCCCCUAGGAGCGUGCAAGUAGGCACGGUCAGAGAUGUGGGCCAGAAGAAGAGAGGCAAGCGAUCCUUUUUGAAAAAGGGGUUACACUUGUUUCCUGCUAUGUCGUCAUCAAUAUCUUCAUUGUCGUCAUUAUUGCAAUUCUUUGUCCAAGUGCGCUGUGAGAUGCGUCCUAUUUGAACCUGUCCGCCUGGAGCUGUGGCAAGGACAGCCGGCAAUUACACCUGGGAGAGGCAGCUCAUGGUUUCAGAGGAUCCAAUGUCAUGGGACCCUGAGGAGGUGCUUCUCAUCCUGACCGGGGUGCUGGGGAAGGCGUCCUGGAGGAGGCGGUUUCCGGAGUUGAUCCCUACAGGUGGUCCCUUUUUGCAUGUGUCUAGACACCUCCUGACAUCGUGGGCACAUGGUAAAGAUUUGCAGGGAGAACAAAUGAAGGUUCGCUCUCUUUUGU
Molecule: long non-coding RNA, 902 nt
Organism: Ailuropoda melanoleuca (giant panda)
Lineage: Eukaryota; Metazoa; Chordata; Mammalia; Carnivora; Ursidae
Exons: 2
Source: RefSeq, a predicted model, not a curated record